UGCACGCAGGAUUGUAAGUUGCUUUCGAUAAAAGCGUCUGCUAAAUGGCAUAUU
Salmo salar (Atlantic salmon) is the source of this 54-nucleotide non-coding RNA. Lineage: Eukaryota; Metazoa; Chordata; Actinopteri; Salmoniformes; Salmonidae. The record is from Rfam.